RNAcentral lists this ribosomal RNA (264 nucleotides) under uncultured bacterium. RNAcentral's name for it is "partial 16S ribosomal RNA". It matches the Rfam family "Bacterial small subunit ribosomal RNA", at positions 793 to 1055 of the family's 1533-position model. The record is from RNAcentral.
GUCCACGCCCUAAACGAUGUCAACUGGUUGUUGGACGGCUUGCUGUUCAGUAACGAAGCUAACGCGUGAAGUUGACCGCCUGGGGAGUACGGCCGCAAGGUUGAAACUCAAAGGAAUUGACGGUGACCCCGCACAAGCGGUGGAUGAUGUGGUUUAAUUCGAUGCAACGCGAAAACCUUACCUACCCUUGACAUGUCUGGAAUCCUGAAGAGAUUUAGGAGUGCUCGAAAGAGAACCAGAACACAGGUACUGCAUGGCCGUCGU